AUGUGGCCCACACUGUGCUUUGCUGAGGCUCAUUACCUUUCCUUGUUUCAGAGUGCAGUGAUGAUUCCACUCUUUUUGGGUGCUGAUAUCCUCUCCAACACUGACACCCGGGUAGAGAACCACCCAAGGUACCAUGCCAAGUUUUCCAAGAAAGAACUUGCCACAAAAAUAAAAUUCUCCUCAGCUUUUAGGUUUCAGGGAUUGAAGGUGUCUAGUGCAGAUAACAGUCUGUGGUUUUACAGCAUUCAGGGGCUUUUUCGAGUUGCAUUUGAAAUGUACAGCAAGCAAGACCAGCUUGCCGUGUUGGACAACUUACAAGAUAUUUGGAAAUCACAUAUCAGUGACAGCCCAUUAAAACCCUAUUACCACCUGAAUGUGCAGCACGACUCAUCAGCGCCUCUCAGCAUUUCGGAUAUGCCAUCAAAACACAAACCCUCAGUUUGUCAGACUGACAGAGAAAUGACAGUUGCAUGUGGCACCCAAACAUCUGAUACUUCGGCAGAUCACGACUAUUGUUCUUCAGGAGCCGGUAUCCACAAUGAAAGAACACAGUUACUUGUGUCAACACUCAGACAAAAGUUGCGCAGCUUAGAAGAACAGCUCUUGUCUCCAUCCCAAAGCUGUGCAGAACAACUCAACACCAUCUUGCUCCUUGUGGAGAGCAUUGCUCGGUACAUGAAAGGGACUCUAGAAGAAAAGGAUGCAGCUGUUACUAUUUUAGCCCUGCUCAAGGCUAAAGACUGGACAAAGGACUCUGCAUAUUCAAGUUACCUGCUUACCUCCAUAGGCCGUUGGCUUGGGGAGCAGUUUCAUGCAGCCAACAGCAGCAUUAGUCACAGAGUGGAGGGCUUUAAAGUUCAGCAUAUAGAAAGAAUAAGUGAUCUGCCGCCUGCUGAGGAGCUGGCCAAAGAACUGUUUCCUGAAGCAAUGCAAACUCUGCUGCUUCAUUGGAUGGGUUUAUGUGAGGAGUCAACCCUAGAAAAAAGGCACAGUGAAUUUCCAAUUUUGCUCCUUAUCCUGGAGUUUGCUAACCAUAACCUCAUAACCGGCGUUGCACAUGUGCUUUAUUCAAGCUUAAUAUGCAAAUAA
This 1089-nucleotide long non-coding RNA is filed under the name Oryzias sinensis (Chinese medaka). RNAcentral's name for it is "lncRNA (ENSOSIG00000018520.1)". The record is from RNAcentral. Lineage: Eukaryota; Metazoa; Chordata; Actinopteri; Beloniformes; Adrianichthyidae.